CUCUUCCAGCAGGCUUAUCUUUGAGACAAGCAUAUGACUACUGGCAGGAUCAACCAGGUAGCAUUCCUUUUUGCUGCCGGCACCGCAUGAACAAGAGGACAAAUACUGUCCUCCCGUCAACACGGGGCACGUCAGGCUUCCGUAAGGGACAAUUGAUUCGGGCAAAAAGGGAACAAAGGCCCCACCCAUAUUUGGUUCCUCCAUACAAAAUUCCGAGCAACACUGGGCCGCCCGUGGCUGGUAACUAAAAUAAGCAAAGCAAGGACGGACGUCCAUGAGGACUUUCAGGGCCAAUGCCCACCAAAAAUUUUCGCACGAGAUAGAACAGGGGCCAUGGGACUAGAGAAUUCCAUCAAAAUAGGUAUGCUAUACAGGGGGCCAAGCCAAUCCAAGGCAAAAUAUUUACCAUCCAAACAUAAUUGACUAGGAUUAACCCACGAUUGGCCCUUGCCAGGGAAGGAACCCACCCACCCGAACCAUACAAUUCACACUCCCCCCCCCAUGAA
This 506-nucleotide unclassified non-coding RNA is filed under the name Heracleum millefolium. RNAcentral describes it as "partial external transcribed spacer". Lineage: Eukaryota; Viridiplantae; Streptophyta; Magnoliopsida; Apiales; Apiaceae. The record is from RNAcentral.